Molecule: non-coding RNA, 65 nt
Organism: Dipodomys ordii (Ord's kangaroo rat)
Lineage: Eukaryota; Metazoa; Chordata; Mammalia; Rodentia; Heteromyidae
Source: Rfam
GGUGGCUCAGUGGUAGAGUGCUUGCCUUGUAUGCUGGAGGCCCUGGGUUCGAUUCCUCAGCACCA